This 253-nucleotide ribosomal RNA is filed under the name uncultured bacterium. RNAcentral describes it as "partial 16S ribosomal RNA". It matches the Rfam family "Bacterial small subunit ribosomal RNA", at positions 524 to 776 of the family's 1533-position model. The record is from RNAcentral.
UACGACGGGUGCUAGCGUUGUUCGGAAUUACUGGGCGUAAAGCGCGUGUAGGCGGGCCGUUAAGUCGGGGGUGAAAGCCCAGAGCUCAACUCUGGAACUGCCUUCGAUACUGGCGGCCUGGAGCAUGAUAGAGGCGAGUGGAAAUGCGAGUGUAGAGGUGAAAUUCGUAGAUAUUCGCAGGAACACCAGUGGCGAAGGCGACUCGCUGGAUCAUUGCUGACGCUGAGACGCGAAAGCGUGGGGAGCAAACAGG